This 243-nucleotide ribosomal RNA is filed under the name uncultured Actinomycetales bacterium. RNAcentral describes it as "partial 16S ribosomal RNA". It matches the Rfam family "Bacterial small subunit ribosomal RNA", at positions 88 to 334 of the family's 1533-position model. Lineage: Bacteria; Bacillati; Actinomycetota; Actinomycetes; Actinomycetales. The record is from RNAcentral.
UACUCGAGUGGCGAACGGGUGAGUAACACGUGGGUGAUCUGCCCUGCACUUCGGGAUAAGCUUGGGAAACUGGGUAUAAUACCGGAUAGGAACCAUCUUUAGUGUGGUGGUUGGAAAGUUUUUUCGGUGUAGGAUGAGCUCGCGGCCUAUCAGCUUGUUGGUGGGGUAAUGGCCUACCAAGGCGGCGACGGGUAGCCGGCCUGAGAGGGUGUACGGCCACAUUGGGACUGAGAUACGGCCCAG